UACAGAGGCCUCGAGCGUUAGGCGGAAUCACUGGGCUUAAAGCGUGUGUAGGCGGACUUCUAAGUACCUUGUGAAAUCCCACGGCUCACCCGUGGAACUGCUUGGUAUACUGGUUGUCUUGAGCCUUCUAGGGGCGAGUGGAACAAAUGGUGGAGCGGUGAAAUGCGUAGAUAUCAUUUGGAACGCCAAUGGUGAAAACAACUCGCUGGGGAAAUGCUGACGCUGAGACACGAAAGCCAGGGGAGCGAACGGG
Molecule: ribosomal RNA, 253 nt
Filed under: uncultured bacterium
Lineage: Bacteria
Description: partial 16S ribosomal RNA
Rfam family: Bacterial small subunit ribosomal RNA
Source: RNAcentral